UUCCUGUCUGCAGUGGACGUGACGUCGCAUGGCCAGUGUUCAUCGCGCAAGAGACGUGUACAGCGUGGAAUGCGUCAGGUCCCUCCCGGACUACGUCUGCCUGCAGGAAGAAGAAGCAAUCAUGUGACAACGCCUGGAUUUAAAAGGGCUAUAAUUAUUCCGUCUCUGUUGCGAUAAUGUAAUAAACUAUUAUUCACA
Long non-coding RNA from Anoplophora glabripennis (Asian longhorned beetle), 198 nucleotides. RefSeq lists it as uncharacterized. Lineage: Eukaryota; Metazoa; Arthropoda; Insecta; Coleoptera; Cerambycidae. The record is from RefSeq and is a predicted model, not a curated record. The transcript has 2 exons.